This is a long non-coding RNA of Haliotis rufescens (red abalone), 2040 nucleotides long. RefSeq lists it as uncharacterized. Lineage: Eukaryota; Metazoa; Mollusca; Gastropoda; Lepetellida; Haliotidae. The transcript is spliced from 2 exons. The record is from RefSeq and is a predicted model, not a curated record.
GAACUGAAAUUUAUCAAAAUACUGCAAAAGCCAUGGAGUGCCUGGGCAAAAUUUGUGUAAGUCAUUUCUGGAUUCCACCAACAACAGUGAAAAGUGGAUUAAAAAAAUAAUAAUUUGAAAAGUAUAGUUUUCUAAUUCCAUAAAAAAAUAUUCACGUACACACACCAGGAAUGUACAUAAAACAAUUUUCACUACAAGACUAUACAUUACACAGGUUAAACGAUGAUGCAAGCAAACACGAACUGUUAACAAAGCAACAUAUUUAGAUAACUUAUUGAAGAAAAAAACAAAAAAACAAAAAAACAUCUCAUUUAAUUUUUUUUAAAUUAAAUCAAGGUAAGAAAAAAAAGUCUGGCCCUGUAAAAAGAGAUUCUUCUGUUGAAUCAUGGGGUUGAAUGCAGAUACAACGAGCUUCAAAUCACCACCUAACAAUACCGACACUUUAACAUGCGCACGCUCCCAUCCCUCCACACCAAACCAGAGGCAGAGAAAUGCAUCCAGUAAGUCUGUCUCUCUGGGCUCACUUUAUUAUCAUACCACAUCAUCUCAUCAAGCUCUGGGCCAAUCGACAGAUAAUCUAGCGUAACUGGUAAUGGUAACUAGACGAGCAGGUUUAUUAAUUAAUCACUACAGGCCAGCAUUCAAGCAGAGAUGCUCAGGGUAUUCUCUCGUAAAUCAUCUUUUGAAGUUUGAACAUCAUGGACAAUAAUAAUGCCAUUGUUGAAUUAAUCUUGGUUGCGCGUUUACCGUUGAAUAAUGAUCACCAUAUCUGCAGCGAUAUAACAUCCAAAGAUAUAAUGAGAAUUUUUUCAUUACUGUAUAUAAAAAACGGUGUCAGUCUCCAACUUCCGCAAAACAAAUUCAAUUUACAACUAAACCCUGCCACAGUAUGGUGAUACUCUUAUAAACUUAGCGAUGAUGCUCAAUUAUAUCUGCUUGGGUGAAAUAUUCUACCGAUGCACGGAUUUUGUCUAAAUUUACCCACACCAUUUCCUUAUCCUCGAAGUAACUCCUACGAGGGUGGAGGAGGGAAAGCGACCGUGACGUCACGGACCCCAGGCAAGCGAGAGGACUAAUCAGAGUGGCUCGACGACAAUGGUAUAAAAGCAAGCCGUCACACGGCUCCACCUCGAUUCAACGACUGACCGAUCACACUGACAAGCUAGGACACAGCGGCCCGGAGUAAUUACCUCAGUCACAAGAGAGUUCCACAACACUCAGGCAUGAGACAAACAGCGUGCCACCUCGCCAUGGUUGCCCUGGCAACAAUGUGUGUGAUUGCGGUUGCCGUCGCUGGGAAAGAAAGUAUGGAACCGUCAGUGCGACAGGACAGUCAGACAGGAGGUCGCUUGUCCUACCUCCUGUCUAAGCGUUCCAGUGGUCUUUCGUUACUCGCUCCCCCAAGCCGCUACUCCCCUUACUUAAAACCCAUUUCGGCCAAACGAGACAACGGAUACUGGGUUUGGAUGCCUGCCCAUGGAUACAUGACUGUACCCCAGGACGAGGCUUCAGAAGGUUCGGAGAGCAAGGAUGGAGUCAGCAACCUCCUCCGUUACGGUUAAACAACAGUUCAGUUACAAGUCCUAAAUGUUCACAGUUUAAUGAAGACGCUGUCAGUGUGGAUUUGACUUUCUCAAAAUCAACAAAUAAUUCUUAACCCAAGGUCUAUUUUUGUAACUCAAUGCAUGCACAGAAAUAGUAAUAGUUCUCUAAAGACUAGCAGUAGUACCUUCCUAACAAUUUGCAGUAGGACAUUCCUGAUGAUCGGCAGUAGUACUUCCCUCAAGACUGGUAGUAGUGCUUUACUAAAGACAUUCCUGUAAUGGCUUGAGGAAGAAGGGAAAUCUAAAGAACUUAUUGAACAAUGCUGAAGCUCUGGUCCUGUACAUAUUCCUUCCACUGAUGGGGCUACUUCUACAAUGUGUUGGGUGUGGGGUCCAGGCUAGUGGCAGCACAACUACUUAUCGUUACAAAAUCAAACGAUGGGCGGCAGAAGCGGGGACUGUGGAACAUUGUGCAAUAAAUGGGUAUCAUAAAAGA